Molecule: long non-coding RNA, 678 nt
Organism: Orbicella faveolata
Lineage: Eukaryota; Metazoa; Cnidaria; Anthozoa; Scleractinia; Merulinidae
Source: RefSeq, a predicted model, not a curated record
UGCAAAUGUAGUCCCUAUUUUUCGCUAUUUUUUUAAGAGAGGUACCGUGAACGUAAAUGCCUUAUGCAAUGAUCCCGGCCAGGGUGCGAAUCCGAAUCGCUCGCGCUCGAUCCAGGAUCCAGCAGGCUAAACAGAAGGCUGUCGUGUUUUCCAACUCUGUAUCUUGUGCGUAGUGCUAAAAAAAUGAUUUUGGUGUCGCCAACCUCCUCUAGUCUCGCGCCAGUCCAACGAACUGAAUGGUUGUGUACUACCAGGGUGUACUGGUUCUCAAACCUUUUUAUCUACCUCGGGCUUUUUCUUUAUUGUUGUCACAACUCCAAAUCCUCGUUAAGUGAAGAGAAUAACAUUUCAAACCUAUAACUGAAGCGGUGUAAUCAAACGAUGUUCACAUCCAGAAACAAACAAACACCCCUCUUACUCCUUUUAGUCCAAAGGCCGGGAGGACUAGGUCUAGCGGAAGGCUUUAGGCGGAGGUUCCCUGGGCACUAGUACGAAUAUUUGCUGUCAAUGAUCAAAAUGGCGCCUGUAACAACAACUCAGGAUGCCACUGCAGAGAAUGCCGAGGGACAGCAAAGCAAUACAAUCAUCUUUAACUCAUCCAAAGGAGAACUGUUCACCCCAAACAAUGGUUUUAAGUCCUUGGUCAGAAAACUGAGAUCCAACUGGAAAGUCAUCACG